Molecule: unclassified non-coding RNA, 345 nt
Filed under: soil metagenome
Description: partial contains 5.8S ribosomal RNA, internal transcribed spacer 2, and large subunit ribosomal RNA
Rfam family: 5.8S ribosomal RNA (bases 1-120)
Source: RNAcentral
GAUGAAGAACGUAGCGAAAUGCGAUACGUAAUGUGAAUUGCAGAAUUCAGUGAAUCAUCGAGUCUUUGAACGCACAUUGCGCCCUCUGGUAUUCCGGAGGGCAUGCCUGUCCGAGCGUCAUUGCUGCCCUCAAGCACGGCUUGUGUGUUGGGCCCCGCCCCCCGAUCCCGGGGGGCGGGCCCGAAAGGCAGCGGCGGCACCGCGUCCGGUCCUCGAGCGUAUGGGGCUUUGUCACCCGCUCUGUAGGCCCGGCCGGCGCCUGCCGAUCAACCAAACUUUUUUCCAGGUUGACCUCGGAUCAGGUAGGGAUACCCGCUGAACUUAAGCAUAUCAAUAAGCGGAGGA